Molecule: ribosomal RNA, 253 nt
Filed under: uncultured bacterium
Lineage: Bacteria
Description: partial 16S ribosomal RNA
Rfam family: Bacterial small subunit ribosomal RNA
Source: RNAcentral
UACGUAGGGUGCAAGCGUUGUCCGGAAUUAUUGGGCGUAAAGAGCGUGUAGGCGGCCCGAUUAGUCCGCUGUGAAAGUCCAGGGCUCAACCCUGGAAUGCCGGUGGAUACUGUCGGGCUAGAGUCCGGAAGGGGCGAGUGGAAUUCCUGGUGUAGCGGUGAAAUGCGCAGAUAUCAGGAGGAACACCAAUAGCGAAGGCAGCUCGCUGGGACGGUAUUGACGCUAAGGCGCGAAAGCGUGGGGAGCAAACAGG